RNAcentral lists this ribosomal RNA (215 nucleotides) under Staphylococcus pseudintermedius. RNAcentral's name for it is "partial 16S ribosomal RNA". It matches the Rfam family "Bacterial small subunit ribosomal RNA", at positions 1 to 209 of the family's 1533-position model. Lineage: Bacteria; Bacillati; Bacillota; Bacilli; Caryophanales; Staphylococcaceae. The record is from RNAcentral.
UUUAUGGAGAGUUUGAUCCUGGCUCAGGAUGAACGCUGGCGGCGUGCCUAAUACAUGCAAGUCGAGCGAACAGAUAAGGAGCUUGCUCCUUUGACGUUAGCGGCGGACGGGUGAGUAACACGUGGGUAACCUACCUAUAAGACUGGAAUAACUCCGGGAAACCGGGGCUAAUGCCGGAUAACAUGUUGAACCGCAUGGUUCUACAGUGAAAGACG